UGACCUCGGAUCAGGUAGGAAUACCCGUAGAAUUUAA
RNAcentral lists this ribosomal RNA (37 nucleotides) under Fusarium oxysporum. Its description in RNAcentral is "partial 28S ribosomal RNA". The record is from RNAcentral. Lineage: Eukaryota; Fungi; Ascomycota; Sordariomycetes; Hypocreales; Nectriaceae.